Molecule: transfer RNA, 76 nt
Filed under: Acidobacteriota bacterium
Lineage: Bacteria; Pseudomonadati; Acidobacteriota
Also listed under: 2 other names
Description: tRNA-His
Rfam family: tRNA
About the family: Transfer RNA (tRNA) molecules are approximately 80 nucleotides in length. Their secondary structure includes four short double-helical elements and three loops (D, anti-codon, and T loops).
Source: RNAcentral
GCGGCUGUCGCCUAGUGGUUAAGGCACCAGAUUGUGAUUCUGGGUACCGUGGGUUCAAAUCCCAUCAGCCGCCCCA